RNAcentral lists this transfer RNA (68 nucleotides) under Trichonephila inaurata madagascariensis. RNAcentral's name for it is "tRNA-Ser". Lineage: Eukaryota; Metazoa; Arthropoda; Arachnida; Araneae; Nephilidae. The record is from RNAcentral.
GCCAGUAGGAUGGAUAUGACCCACGGCUUGAAACCGAGUGGGUUCGGGUUCGAAUCCCGAGUAAGGCA